Molecule: small RNA, 493 nt
Filed under: Arabidopsis thaliana (thale cress)
Lineage: Eukaryota; Viridiplantae; Streptophyta; Magnoliopsida; Brassicales; Brassicaceae
Description: ATSL149240
Source: RNAcentral
UUUGAAAAUACCACAAAUUUACAUAUUAACUGAAAUAAUAUUUUUUCUAAAACAUCACAAAUUUAUAUAUAAUGUUUUGAAAUUAUCUCCCUUAUUUAUUUUUUUAAUCUAAUGUUACAUUAUAUUCAAAGAAAACAUAGCGUUUGUACAAUUAGUGCAUCGGAGUUUGAAUAUAAUAGAAAGAGUUAGAGAGAGAUAAAAUUUAGAUCGAAAUUGAAUUAGGAACGACAUUGGAGCCAAACUUGGAAGCAAGCCUCAUAUCGACUGUCCUUUAACCGUUUGAUGAUUGUGAUCUUAUUCCUAAUUUGUGCAUCAAUCCACUUGAUUAACUAGCCAUGAUACUUGGGUAUUUCGUCGUGCCGUCGGCCAUUUCUUUCAUGCCAAAUGGUGUAGGCAGUGACUUAGAAAAUGUAUUUGAUCAAGAAGCCUUCUAUUCGGUUUUGGUGGUGAGACGAGGCAUGGAGGAGGAUCUGUGACCAGGAGCUGGUGUAGU